RNAcentral lists this transfer RNA (67 nucleotides) under Nitrospiraceae bacterium. RNAcentral describes it as "tRNA-Pro". It matches the Rfam family "tRNA". From Rfam's summary of the family: Transfer RNA (tRNA) molecules are approximately 80 nucleotides in length. The record is from RNAcentral. Lineage: Bacteria; Pseudomonadati; Nitrospirota; Nitrospiria; Nitrospirales; Nitrospiraceae.
GGCGUAGCGCAGCCUGGUAGCGCACUUCCUUGGGGUGGAAGUGGUCGGAGGUUCAAAUCCUCUCGCC